ACCAGUGCACCUUCCUGCAGCUCAGCAUGGGAGCAACCCUGGUCAUACACUGUGACACAGCUGAGGACAGGACGUCUAGAUCCUUGGGGCUGAGUCCAACUCCUAACCAUGUCAUUUUGGACAAAAGCUUACUCUGUACCUGAUCGCUCAUCCAAGAAACACAGGCAGUAGGAUGAGUCACCGAGCAGGACAGUACUACACUGUGAAGCCAAUGCCAGAGCGCCAAGGAGAAUAAAGGAGCCAGA
This is a non-coding RNA of Rattus norvegicus (Norway rat), 245 nucleotides long. Lineage: Eukaryota; Metazoa; Chordata; Mammalia; Rodentia; Muridae. The record is from RefSeq and is a predicted model, not a curated record.